This 756-nucleotide ribosomal RNA is filed under the name uncultured bacterium. Its description in RNAcentral is "bacterial SSU rRNA". It matches the Rfam family "Bacterial small subunit ribosomal RNA", at positions 640 to 1411 of the family's 1533-position model. The record is from RNAcentral.
ACUAGAGUACAGGAGGGGGCAGUGGAAUUCCAUGUGUAGCGGUAAAAUGCGUAGAUAUAUGGAGGAACACCGGUGGCGAAGGCGGCUGCCUGGCCUGUAACUGACGCUGAGGCACGAAAGCGUGGGGAGCAAAUAGGAUUAGAUACCCUAGUAGUCCACGCUGUAAACGAUGAUUACUAAGUGUUGGAGAAAUUCAGUGCUGCAGUUAACGCAAUAAGUAAUCCGCCUGGGGAGUAUGCACGCAAGUGUGAAACUCAAAGGAAUCGACGGGACCCCGCACAAGCGGUGGAGUAUGUGGUUUAAUUCGAAGCAACGCGAAGAACCUUACCAGGUCUUGACAUGGUGUUUAAGGCCCUAGAGAUAGGGAGAUAAUAAGCACACACAGGUGGUGCAUGGUUGUCGUCAGCUCGUGUCGUGAGAUGUUGGGUUAAGUCCCGCAACGAGCGCAACCCUUGUCUUUAGUUACCAUCAUUAAGUUGGGGACUCUAGAGAGACUGCCGGUGAUAAACCGGAGGAAGGUGGGGAUGACGUCAAAUCACCAUGCCCCUUAUGACCUGGGCUACACACGUACUACAAUGGCGCAUACAGCGAGUUGCGAGAUGGUGACAUCAAGCGGAUCUCNNNAAAUGCGUCUCAGUUCGGAUUGGAGUCUGCAACUCGACUCCAUGAAGUCGGAAUCGCUAGUAAUCGCGGAUCAGCAUGCCGCGGUGAAUACGUUCUCGGGGUUUGUCACACCGCCCGUCAAACCACGAAAGU